RNAcentral lists this ribosomal RNA (303 nucleotides) under uncultured bacterium. Its description in RNAcentral is "bacterial SSU rRNA". It matches the Rfam family "Bacterial small subunit ribosomal RNA", at positions 355 to 675 of the family's 1533-position model. The record is from RNAcentral.
UGGGGAAUAUUGGACAAUGGGGGAAACCCUGAUCCAGCGACGCCGCGUGAGUGAAGAAGUAUUUCGGUACGUAAAGCUCUAUCAGCAGGAAAGAAAAUGACGGUACCUGACUAAGAAGCCCCGGCUAACUACGUGCCAGCAGCCGCGGUAAUACGUAGGGGGCAAGCGUUAUCCGGAUUUACUGGGUGUAAAGGGAGCGUAGACGGCAGCGCAAGUCUGGAGUGAAAUGCCGGGGCCCAACCCCGGAACUGCUCUGGAAACUGUGAAGCUGGAGUGCAGGAGAGGUAAGCGGAAUUCCUGGUG